AACGAACGCUGGCGGCAUGCCUAACACAUGCAAGUCGAACGAGACCUUCGGGUCUAGUGGCGCACGGGUGCGUAACGCGUGGGAACCUGCCCUUAGGUUCGGAAUAACUCACCGAAAGGGGUGCUAAUACCGGAUAAUGUCUUCGGACCAAAGAUUUAUCGCCUUUGGAUGGGCCCGCGUUGGAUUAGCUGGUUGGUAGGGUAAAAGCCUACCAAGGCGACGAUCCAUAGCUGGUCUGAGAGGAUGAUCAGCCACACUGGGACUGAGACACGGCCCAGACUCCUACGGGAGGCAGCAGUGGGGAAUAUUGGACAAUGGGCGAAAGCCUGAUCCAGCAAUGCCGCGUGAGUGAUGAAGGCCUUAGGGUUGUAAAGCUCUUUUACCCGGGAUGAUAAUGACAGUACCGGGAGAAGAAGCUCCGGCUAACUCCGUG
RNAcentral lists this ribosomal RNA (433 nucleotides) under uncultured bacterium. RNAcentral describes it as "partial 16S ribosomal RNA". It matches the Rfam family "Bacterial small subunit ribosomal RNA", at positions 29 to 507 of the family's 1533-position model. The record is from RNAcentral.